AAUCAUGGCUCAGAUUGAACGCUGGCGGAAUGCUUUACACAUGCAAGUCGAACGGUAGAGGGGGCAACCCCUCGAGAGUGGCGAACGGGUGAGUAAUAUAUCGGAACGUGCCCAGUCGUGGGGGAUAACGUAGCGAAAGUUACGCUAAUACCGCAUACGAUCCAAGGAUGAAAGCGGGGGACUCGCAAGAGCCUCGCGCGAUUGGAGCGGCCGAUAUCAGAUUAGGUAGUUGGUGGGGUAAAGGCUCACCAAGCCAACGAUCUGUAGCUGGUCUGAGAGGACGACCAGCCACACUGGGACUGAGACACGGCCCAGACUCCUACGGGAGGCAGCAGUGGGGAAUUUUGGACAAUGGACGCAAGUCUGAUCCAGCCAUUCCGCGUGCAGGAAGAAGGCCUUCGGGUUGUAAACUGCUUUUGUACGGAACGAAAAGGCUCUGGUUAAUACCUGGGGCUGAUGACGGUACCGUAAGAAUAAGCACCGGCUAACUACGUG
This 495-nucleotide ribosomal RNA is filed under the name uncultured bacterium. Its description in RNAcentral is "bacterial SSU rRNA". It matches the Rfam family "Bacterial small subunit ribosomal RNA", at positions 15 to 507 of the family's 1533-position model. The record is from RNAcentral.